UUUAAAAAAAAAAUUAGUUUUGGUGAAGAUAUAAGUAUUAAAUCUAAUUGGUGACAUUGGGGUUGUUUUCCUUUACAAUUAUUAGUAAAGUUAUUGUUACAUAGUAUAUUAUUAAGAGAUACUCUUAGGAACAUCUUGUUUAAAUUUAUUCAUUAGUGACGUUAUUGUUAUUAUUUUUCUUCACAGUUGAAUACUCUACUGCCCUUUUUAAACUUUAAAAACUUAGAGUUUAAAAUUUAGAAUGGCAAAUAUGGAAGAAGCUAAUAGUAUUAAGCCUGAAAAAUUUAGUGGACAAAAUUUUCGUAGAUGGCAAAGACAACUUAAAUAUUGGUUGACUGUGUUAGGACUUGUAUCUGCAAUAGAGGAACCAC
Molecule: long non-coding RNA, 371 nt
Filed under: Phoenix dactylifera (date palm)
Lineage: Eukaryota; Viridiplantae; Streptophyta; Magnoliopsida; Arecales; Arecaceae
Description: long non-coding RNA (PDAC_LNC008917)
Source: RNAcentral